AAUAUUCAACAAUAAAAUAAACGGAUUACAAUCAUUUGGAUUAAAAACUAAAUCUGUACAAGAUAAUGAGACAGAUUCCUGCACCCCGUCAUCUUCUCUUACACGAGCGAGGCCCGCCUUUCCUGCGGUGUCUCCUCCAACAGCUGGAGCAGCAGCUCGUGCAGGGGCGUGGCCAUGGCACCGUACCCACUGGCCGUCAGGUGCAGGAAGUCAAACAUAUCUCGGCUGGAAAUGGUGCCGUCAGAGUGCACAAAGCCGCCACCCACGUCCAGGAACUGUAUGGGUCCGAGACGAGGAAGGGCACAGCGCAGGACGACGAUCUUGGCCUUGGGAAGGCGUGAGAUGAGCAGCUGUACUAUGGUCACGAUGCCCCCUGCGACCUGCUCUGCUGUGUGCUCGUGAUUAUUGGUUCCUACCCACAGCACCACCACCUGUUCUCCGUUCUGCAGCCUCCACAGAACGUUGCACGUCGUGUCUCCUCCAAUCCCAAAGUUGAGCGCAUGGAGUGGAGAAAACAACUCUCGCCAAACCUGCACACAACAACCAAUCACAUCGCAGAACCCAGACUUCAAUGUUAGACCCAAUGCUAAAACAACUUCAUUCCUGUUAUCACUUAUGUUAUGUUUUAUGUUAUUAUUUACGCAUAAAUAAUACAUUUUCUGACCAAUCAGCUUUCAGAAUGUUUUUUUUUCCCCCCUACUGAUCCUGUGAGGAGGCCACAUGAAAUUACAAAUCGGGAACAGCAACAGCAGCUUAUUUACAACCCAGAAGACAAUGUGGCAUUGUGCAGCGUGGCGCUGAACUGCAAAUGACACUUUAGUCUCUGUUUCCUGCUUAAAUAACCAGAUUAAUGACAAGCAAUGUGGAAAAUACAGUACUGUAAAUACGGGUUAAAGGUUAAAAAGAGUUUUCAAAAAAGCUUAAAUGUUAAUGUAUUUAGUUCACAACACACACACACACACACCUCAUACUGCUGCAUCAGCUGAACCAUGGAGUCCCCUACAAACAGCACGUCAGGUUCUGCAUCUUUACAUUCCUGCACGAAGCGGUUGUGCUGCAACACACACACACACACACAAGAUCAACACUAUGCCAAAUACACAAACUCUUUACAUAUAAACAUAUAUGUAUUUUUAUUCAUAAAACACAUACCUGUGAUAUCCAGCGUCCAUCACCCUGGACAUCCAGAACCUGCACAGGUUCAGCAGCAGGGUUCUCCUCGUCACUCAUUCUCUAAACAUGAACAAGGACUUGUAACAUCAGGACAAAACUCACAACACGUGAACUUUCCCAGCAUCCACGAUUCAUUGAGACUAAUAUUGUACUUUUUUGACUUUUGCUACAGAUGCAGAAGAGCUUCAGUCCUUCAGCGUUUGCCUUCACGUCAUCACUACUUCUGAGCUGGAUUUCUUCAGUAAAGACAUACUGUAUGUUCUAGCUAACAGUGAAAGCUGUCCACAAGAUUAGUGAAGUAAACUCCAUUUUCACUACUCCAGCUGUAACAAGAGUCUCGGCAGUGACAGCGAAGGGACACACUGCUGUCAACUUGUCACAGGAAUAACACAAACACAACACCAAUCGAUAAAUUAGAAAAAUAAAUAUAUUUCAAAUUCUAUUCAUAUCCAGAAUAUCACCUGCAACAGGACACGAUGGAGCCCGAAAAAAGGUGCAGAAAUCCCCAUAAUACACUGGUGUUAGUAGGAAAUAAGGAGGAAGCUUAAUACAGUCACCAUUUCAGACACAGUGCAUGAAAGCAAGCAAGAUGCAGGCUUUACAUUCAUAAUGCUCUAAUUCUGGCUAGUAAUACAGUGGAUUUCUUCUGGUUCAUGAAAUGCUCUCUUACCGCUCUUGUUUAUUGUCUAAUCGGGUUAUUUGGAUGAGAUUAGGCCGUAAAUUACAGCGGCAUCCUGCGUUAGAGGCCUGUCUUGAAAUGAGUAAAUGACCAAACAGGCUGCAACAAUAACGUUUGCAUUAUGUAGCAUUAAUAUUAACGCGCGCACACGCACACGCACACACACACACACACACACACAGUCUCACCUGCUAAUCAGAUGAAUUCUCUAAAGCAGGAAGCAGACAGAUGUCUGAUGCCGGAGGAUGCUGCGGUUUGGUGCUGAUGCUGCGCUCAGUCUCUCACGCGCCCGUUUUUUGGUUUUGUUUUUGUUUUGUUUUUGUUCUUGUUCUUUUAAAAAAAAAUGGCGACGCGAUGUUUAUGCGCCACAAAAUCCUUUCUGUAGCUCGGAUAUGUUUGGAAAAUCACGGACGGAAGGUUUUGAUCAACGAAACCGGUUAUGUCCUCCCCUUUUCGGGGUUGCCAGGUGUGCGCACACUUUCACCCUAACCCAGACAAUUGAUCCACACAAAGAAAUCCUGAGUUCUUUUUUUAUUUUAUUUAUUUUUUUUUAUAGCUAUUAUACCCGGUCUGUA
Tachysurus vachellii is the source of this 2427-nucleotide long non-coding RNA. RefSeq lists it as uncharacterized. The transcript is spliced from 4 exons. The record is from RefSeq and is a predicted model, not a curated record. NCBI's taxonomy places the organism in Eukaryota, Metazoa, Chordata, Actinopteri, Siluriformes, Bagridae.